Molecule: ribosomal RNA, 216 nt
Filed under: Campeiostachys nutans
Lineage: Eukaryota; Viridiplantae; Streptophyta; Magnoliopsida; Poales; Poaceae
Description: Elymus nutans partial small subunit ribosomal RNA
Rfam family: Eukaryotic small subunit ribosomal RNA (bases 37-216)
Source: RNAcentral
AGACCGGUUUAUUGGUCGUGCUUUUGUACGUACUGGUAUUAUUGGUUUCUCCUUUCUGACGAACUAUAAUGCCAUUUAUUUGGUGUGAUGGGAAAUCAGGACUGUUACUUUGAAAAAAUUAGAGUGUUUAAAGCAGACUAUCGUCUGAAUACAUUAGCAUGGAAUAAUGAAAUAGGACGGACUGAUUCUAUUUCGUUGGUUUCUAGGAUCACCGUA